This is a non-coding RNA of Misgurnus anguillicaudatus (oriental weatherfish), 309 nucleotides long. Lineage: Eukaryota; Metazoa; Chordata; Actinopteri; Cypriniformes; Cobitidae. The record is from RefSeq and is a predicted model, not a curated record.
CUGGACAUUGAGGAAGAGAAGCGUUUAUCUUUAACGUUACCUAAGAAGAAGAACAAUGGAAGGCGCAAUGGAGGCGGAUAUAUUCCUGAAGAAACUGUCUGCAUCCCUCUCAUCAGUAAACUAUGAAGUGGAAAAACAUAUUCACACUCUUUGGACAUAAAGUUGUAUGGUAACAUGAGCCACAUGAAGUUUACAGCUCUGUUGUUUAUCAGUUUCUUAUACAAGUUAAGUUUUUGAAUAGGGUCCUACUGACCUUCAUUUCUAUUUUGAUUAUAUUGUUAACUUCUUAAUAAACCUCAAACAAACAUG